Molecule: ribosomal RNA, 428 nt
Filed under: uncultured bacterium
Lineage: Bacteria
Description: bacterial SSU rRNA
Rfam family: Bacterial small subunit ribosomal RNA
Source: RNAcentral
CGAAAGUCUGACGGAGCAAUGCCGCGUGAGUGAAGAAGGGUUUCGGCUCGUAAAGCUCUGUUGUUAAAAGAAGAACACGUAUGAGAGUAACUGUUCAUACGUUGACGGUAUUUAACCAGAAAGUCACGGCUAACUACGUGCCAGCAGCCGCGGUAAUACGUAGGUGGCAAGCGUUAUCCGGAUUUAUUGGGCGUAAAGAGAGUGCAGGCGGUUUUCUAAGUCUGAUGUGAAAGCCCUUCGGCUUAACCGGAGAAGUGCAUCGGAAACUGGAUAACUUGAGUGCAGAAGAGGGUAGUGGAACUCCAUGUGUAGCGGUGGAAUGCGUAGAUAUAUGGAAGAACACCAGUGGCGAAGGCGGCUACCUGGUCUGCAACUGACGCUGAGACUCGAAAGCAUGGGUAGCGAACAGGAUUAGACUACCCUGGUAG